RNAcentral lists this ribosomal RNA (429 nucleotides) under Actinomycetes bacterium. RNAcentral describes it as "Actinobacteria bacterium partial 16S ribosomal RNA". It matches the Rfam family "Bacterial small subunit ribosomal RNA", at positions 355 to 776 of the family's 1533-position model. Lineage: Bacteria; Bacillati; Actinomycetota; Actinomycetes. The record is from RNAcentral.
UAGGGAAUCUUCCGCAAUGGGCGAAAGCCUGACGGAGCAACGCCGCGUGAGUGAUGAAGGUCUUCGGAUCGUAAAACUCUGUUAUUAGGGAAGAACAAAUGUGUAAGUAACUAUGCACGUCUUGACGGUACCUAAUCAGAAAGCCACGGCUAACUACGUGCCAGCAGCCGCGGUAAUACGUAGGUGGCAAGCGUUAUCCGGAAUUAUUGGGCGUAAAGCGCGCGUAGGCGGUUUUUUAAGUCUGAUGUGAAAGCCCACGGCUCAACCGUGGAGGGUCAUUGGAAACUGGAAAACUUGAGUGCAGAAGAGGAAAGUGGAAUUCCAUGUGUAGCGGUGAAAUGCGCAGAGAUAUGGAGGAACACCAUUGGCGAAGGCGACUUUCUGGUCUGUAACUGACGCUGAUGUGCGAAAGCGUGGGGAUCAAACAGG